Molecule: long non-coding RNA, 327 nt
Organism: Pelodiscus sinensis (Chinese soft-shelled turtle)
Lineage: Eukaryota; Metazoa; Chordata; Testudines; Trionychidae
Source: RefSeq, a predicted model, not a curated record
CUGGGCCCGUCAGCCUGCCACCCUAACAGCGCCCGCACGAGAGCCAGGUGCCGGCCGCGACCCUGCUGCCCACCCGCGGCUUCUCACCUCGCCUCAUUACACGCCUGCCUGGCUGCCUCGCAUAGUGUAGCAAAUGCCUGCUUGGUGUGGCACUCUGUUCCCACUACUGAAGGUUCCGUCAGCUAGAGAUUGCUCUACAAAUAACAAAUUGAGAAGAAAAGAACAUAACUCACUUGAAUGACCCAAAGUCUCCUCAUGGAAAUACUCAUCUACCGUAAAUUGGGAGCAAUGAGACAAAUCACUGAAAUGUUUUCUUGGCUGAGUGAA